UUUUAAAAUAAAUAAUUGAAUUUAAGUUUUGCAUAAAAACUUGCAAGCAUCCUUAAGGGACGAGAAGACCCUGUGGAUUUUUAUUUGUUAAAAAGUAAAUUUUAUAAUAUUUUAUUUUUUAUUCAAAUUUGGUUGGGAUGACAGUAAAAUUAACUUUAUUAAAAAGAUAAUAUAUAGAUCCUUGUUAAGGAAAAAAGAAUAAAUUACCCCAGGGAUAACAGCGUAAUACUUUUGGACAGGACAAAUGGAUAAAAGUGUUUGCGACCUC
This 268-nucleotide ribosomal RNA is filed under the name Candona sp. 35 IK-2020. RNAcentral's name for it is "partial large subunit ribosomal RNA". Lineage: Eukaryota; Metazoa; Arthropoda; Ostracoda; Podocopida; Candonidae. The record is from RNAcentral.